Molecule: ribosomal RNA, 492 nt
Filed under: uncultured bacterium
Lineage: Bacteria
Description: partial 16S ribosomal RNA
Rfam family: Bacterial small subunit ribosomal RNA
Source: RNAcentral
AGUGAACGCUGGCGGUAGGCUUAACACAUGCAAGUCGAACGGCAGCACAGUAAGAGCUUGCUCUUACGGGUGGCGAGUGGCGGACGGGUGAGGAAUACAUCGGAAUCUACUCUUUCGUGGGGGAUAACGUAGGGAAACUUACGCUAAUACCGCAUACGAUCUACGGGUGAAAGCAGGGGAACUUCGGACCUUUCGCGAUUGAAUGAGCCGAUGUCGGAUUAGCUAGUUGGCGGGGUAAAGGCCCACCAAGGCGACGAUCCGUAGCUGGUCUGAGAGGAUGAUCGGCCACACUGGAGCUGAGACACGGUCCAGACUCCUACGGGAGGCAGCAGUGGGGAAUAUUGGACAGUGGGCGCAAGCCUUAUCCAGCCAUACCGCGUGGGUGACGGAGGCCUUCGGGUUGUAAAGCCCUUUUGUUGGGAAAGAAAAGCAGCAGGUUAAUACCCCGCUGUUCUGACGGUACCCAAAGAAUAAGCACCGGCUAACUUCGUG